RNAcentral lists this non-coding RNA (30 nucleotides) under Mus musculus (house mouse). The record is from RNAcentral. Lineage: Eukaryota; Metazoa; Chordata; Mammalia; Rodentia; Muridae.
UACUUAUAUUUGAGGGUACUGCCACAAUAC